This 706-nucleotide ribosomal RNA is filed under the name Leptodactylus tapiti. RNAcentral's name for it is "partial 16S ribosomal RNA". It matches the Rfam family "Bacterial large subunit ribosomal RNA", at positions 1390 to 2469 of the family's 2925-position model. Lineage: Eukaryota; Metazoa; Chordata; Amphibia; Anura; Leptodactylidae. The record is from RNAcentral.
CACUUUAGUACCAAGCAAUUCUAUAUCUUUAUAGAACCUUUUAUGUUAAAACUAGUAACAAGAAGCACCCCUUCUCUUAAAUGCAAGUAUAAAUCAGCCAGGACCCACCACUGAUAAUUAACACCCAUGAACUUACAGUAGAAACACCACAAGAAAAUUCUACUACACCCCAUGUUAAUCUAACACAAGAGCAUUACAAGAAAGAUUAAAAGAAAAAGAAGGAACUCGGCAAACAUUAACCCCGCCUGUUUACCAAAAACAUCGCCUCUUGAUAAACUUAUAAGAGGUCCAGCCUGCCCAGUGACUCUGUUCAACGGCCGCGGUAUCCUAACCGUGCGAAGGUAGCGUAAUCACUUGUUCUUUAAAUGAGGACUAGUAUGAAUGGCACCACGAAGGUUAUACUGUCUCCUUUCUCUAAUCAGUGAAACUAAUCUCCCCGUGAAGAAGCGGGGAUAAAAAUAUAAGACGAGAAGACCCUAUGGAGCUUCAAACAAAUACACAACUGCCUAUUUUACUAAAAAUUUCAGGAGAAAAACACCUACCCAGGCACUUUGAUGUAGAGUUUUAGGUUGGGGUGACCACGGAGUAAAAAAUAACCUCCGUAAUGAAAGGUGAGUUUUCCCUAAACUAAGGACUACAACCCUAAGUAUCAACAAAUUGACACCAAUUGACCCAAUACAUCUUGAUCAAUGACCCAAGUUACCCU